Molecule: long non-coding RNA, 2039 nt
Organism: Ahaetulla prasina
Lineage: Eukaryota; Metazoa; Chordata; Lepidosauria; Squamata; Colubridae
Exons: 3
Source: RefSeq, a predicted model, not a curated record
UUGCAAGGUAAAAGUUGAGAAACCAUAGGCUCAGUAAGCAUGAUGGCUAUGAUCCUGCAAAGCACCCAGUUGGCACUUAAACAGUGGCAAAGUAUCAACAUGAAGACUAUAACAAAAUGAAGGGUUGCUCAAAACUGCAAAAGCUGUGCCUAUUGCUGUAGAGUGGAAGAGAAAAAUAAAGAAAACCAAUCAAAACCAAUCAAAAAAGAAACCCUGAUGAAAUACAUAACCAUAUUGUAGAAGCAACUCCGAAAGAACAUCUUUUUGUUCCACAUCCAGCAGAAAUGUGUAAUGUUUGUAUUCUAUUAUUUGAACAUUGGGAAACUGUAAUGGUAGAAGAAAUAACCUGGAAGAAUGGGAAAAAGAUAACUAGGUCAAUGAUUAAAGAAAUCUGAGUUUUGGGCAAAAAUUCACUACAGCCACAACUAUCAAAAUUGGUUCUUACUUCCUCCAACGGACAUGGAUUUCUUCUCAGCUCAUCAAUUAAUGCUGAAAGAAUGACAGCCUUCCUAUGUAUGUAUAUUUAUCAAAGUGGAUCACAAAUGACAUACUUCAAAAUACCCAUGCACAAAUAUAUAUUAUGUGAGCAAAGUGCAAAACAAAGCCAAACAAAACAAAGCAAAACAAAGCCAAAGCCUGAAGAUGAUGAGUGAGAUCUCAUCGAAACAUUGCCUAAUUACUUCCAAUCUUACACGGGAAAAGACCCGAACAUACCAAACAUACAUACAUACAUACAUAUAUAUACAGGUUUAUAUAUAUAUACAGGUUUUGGUAUGUUCGGGUCUUUUCCCGUGUAAGAUUGGAUAUAUGUCGUGGCAUUUUCGGUCUUUUCCCCUGUAAGGUUGAGAGUAUCCUGGUGACGUUUCGACGAGGUCUCACUCAUCAUAUUCAGGCUGUCAGCUUUGCUCACAGAAGCAGGAAGCUGAAGACACCAGCCUGAAGAUGAUGAGUGAGACCUCAUUGAAAUGUUGCCAAGAUACUCUCAAACUUACAUGGGAAAAGACCUGAAAAUUCCAAGACCUACAUACCUAUACCUGUGAAAACCUACAAAAACAAACAAAUAUUCUAUUUUUUUGUGAGCUAUUAACCUAUAAAAUACAUACAAAAAUGCAUAACAAAACUGAAAGUCCCUUAAAAUUAUGUAUUAUAGUAAAUUUCAAUUCAUUUCUAAAAUAAUAAUAUUUUACUCAUAUAUGUGUUUAUAUACUAUAUAAUCUUUUUUGUAUGAUACCUACAUAUAUUGUUGUGACAAAAUAAAUAAAUAAAUAAAUGUGGUCCAACAGCAAUGCCAGCCCACUGAAGAUUUUCAUUAGUAAUGUAGAUUUAAAAAACUCAUGCAACCCUAUUUUUUAUGCUGUAUUACUAGCCACCCUGCAUGUACAUCCAGUGUACUGUCUACAAUUAUAUGAAAGUUUUUCCUUAAAGUUCUACAUAGUUGCAUAAAUUGCAAUUCCUUAGGUAUAUGCAUUUGCCCAAACCCACAAUAGGUUAAAAAUCCCUCCCAGAGUUCAAAACUUUUUUCCUCAUUCUUUUCCAUUCUACAAAUCUAUCCCUGGUUCCUCAGAACUAAAGCUAACUUCCAUUCUCAAAUCUCAUCCAAGCAACACUUCUUCUACAUUGUCCUGCUGGUCUCCAAUCCUCCCUCACCUGAGACAUAUCAAAGAGCAGCUAUGUUUAUCUGCUGCAAGAGAAAAAAAAUGCUUUUCAAAAGCAGCAGCACAAACUGACGCAAUUCACACGCGUGAAUGAUUUUGCAACUUCAAUAUUUUUUUUACACCCUUUAUCUGUCAAUAGAAGCAUCGCCUAAAGCGCUCUCCCCGUUUCCUUUCUUCCAACUUGCAUUUCUCAUUUGAAACGUGCCCCCGUAUCCAUCCAUCCAUCCAUCCGGUUGAAAAGCUGGAGCCACAAUAUGGGAUAUGGUCAUUCUGUGAUGUCUCACAAGGCUCUCCUCUCUGGGUAACCGGAGCACCGAUGUCCCUUAGUAAGAUUUAAGCCCCCAAGCCGGCCGUUUCCCCCCGGCUGUGGCCCGCGUCAUCGGC